GGUUGUGGCUCAGUGGUAGAGCACUCGUCUAGCACAUGCGGGGCCCUGAGUUCGAUCCUCAGCACCA
Molecule: transfer RNA, 67 nt
Filed under: Marmota monax (woodchuck)
Lineage: Eukaryota; Metazoa; Chordata; Mammalia; Rodentia; Sciuridae
Description: tRNA.Ala
Rfam family: tRNA
About the family: Transfer RNA (tRNA) molecules are approximately 80 nucleotides in length. Their secondary structure includes four short double-helical elements and three loops (D, anti-codon, and T loops).
Source: RNAcentral